UGCCGCGGUCGCCGCCACCCGAGCCGGAGCGGGCUGGGCCGCCAAGGCAAGAUGGUGGACUACAGCGUGUGGGACCACAUUGAGGUGUCUGAUGAUGAAGACGAGACGCACCCCAACAUCGACACGGCCAGCCUCUUCCGCUGGCGGCAUCAGGCCCGGGUGGAGCGCAUGGAGCAGUUCCAGAAGGAGAAGGAGGAACUGGACAGGGGCUGCCGCGAGUGCAAGCGCAAGGUGGCCGAGUGCCAGAGGAAGCUGAAGGAGCUGGAGGUCGCCGAGGGCGGCAAGGCAGAGCUGGAGCGGCUGCAGGCUGAGGCACAGCAGCUGCGCAAGGAGGAGCGGAGCUGGGAGCAGAAGCUGGAGGAGAUGCGCAAGAAGGAGAAGAGCAUGCCCUGGAACGUGGACACGCUCAGCAAAGACGGCUUCAGCAAGAGCAUGGUAAAUACCAAGCCCGAGAAGACGGAGGAGGACUCAGAGGAGGUGAGGGAGCAGAAACACAAGACCUUCGUGGAAAAAUACGAGAAACAGAUCAAGCACUUUGGUGAGUGGGGCGUGUGGGUUAUGGGGGGCAAGGUCGAGGCAGGCCCUUUGCCUCCAGGGCCCUCCAGCACCUUGCCAGCAUCUUCCCACAGGCAUGCUCCGCCGCUGGGAUGACAGCCAAAAGUACCUGUCAGACAACGUCCACCUGGUGUGCGAGGAGACGGCCAAUUACCUGGUCAUUUGGUGCAUUGACCUAGAGGUGGAGGAGAAAUGUGCACUCAUGGAGCAGGUGGCCCACCAGACAAUCGUCAUGCAAUUUAUCCUAGAGCUGGCCAAGAGCCUGAAGGUGGACCCCCGGGCCUGCUUCCGGCAGUUCUUCACUAAGAUUAAGACAGCCGAUCGCCAGUACAUGGAGGGCUUCAACGAUGAGCUGGAAGCCUUCAAGGAGCGUGUGCGGGGCCGCGCCAAGCUGCGCAUCGAGAAGGCCAUGAAAGAGUACGAGGAGGAGGAGCGCAAGAAGCGGCUCGGCCCUGGCGGCCUGGACCCCAUCGAGGUCUACGAGUCCCUCCCCGAGGAACUCCAGAAGUGCUUCGAUGUGAAGGACGUGCAGAUGCUGCAAGACGCCAUCAGCAAGAUGGACCCCACCGACGCAAAGUACCACAUGCAGCGCUGCAUUGACUCUGGCCUCUGGGUCCCCAACUCUAAGGCCAGCGAGGCCAAGGAGGGAGAGGAGGCAGGUCCUGGGGACCCACUACUGGAAUCUGUUCCCAAGACGGGCGAUGAGAAGGAUGUCAGUGUGUGACCUGCCCCAGCUACCACCGCCACCUGCUUCCAGGCCCCUAUGUGCCCCUUUUCAGAAAACAGAUAGAUGCCAUCUCGCCCGCUCCUGACUUCCUCUAC
This 1377-nucleotide small RNA is filed under the name Pongo abelii (Sumatran orangutan). RNAcentral describes it as "retained intron". The record is from RNAcentral. Lineage: Eukaryota; Metazoa; Chordata; Mammalia; Primates; Hominidae.